GAGAGUAGGUGGAAAGAUACAUAUUUAGAGUGUGGUGGUGAUGGCACUGGUGGAGUAAAGAAGAAGCUCUUACCUCGUAAGAUACCGAGGUAUUUUCCACUUAUUCCUUGACUGCAGAGAUUAUAUAUGAACAAGACCACAUCAGCGCAUAUGCGUUGGCAUAAGGAAGAAUUGGUUGAAGAUGGGAAAGUGCGGCACCCAUCUAACUCAAAG
This 213-nucleotide long non-coding RNA is filed under the name Setaria viridis. RNAcentral describes it as "long non-coding RNA (SVIR_LNC009058)". Lineage: Eukaryota; Viridiplantae; Streptophyta; Magnoliopsida; Poales; Poaceae. The record is from RNAcentral.